UAGGGAAUCUUCCACAAUGGACGAAAGUCUGAUGGAGCAACGCCGCGUGAGUGAAGAAGGUUUUCGGAUCGUAAAACUCUGUUGUCAGAGAAGAACGUGUGCGAGAGUAACUGCUCGUGCAGUGACGGUAUCUGGCCAGAAAGCCACGGCUAACUACGUGCCAGCAGCCGCGGUAAUACGUAGGUGGCAAGCGUUGUCCGGAUUUAUUGGGCGUAAAGGGAACGCAGGCGGUCUUUUAAGUCUGAUGUGAAAGCCUUCGGCUUAACCGAAGUCGUGCAUUGGAAACUGGGAGACUUGAGUGCAGAAGAGGAGAGUGGAACUCCAUGUGUAGCGGUGAAAUGCGUAGAUAUAUGGAAGAACACCAGUGGCGAAAGCGGCUCUCUGGUCUGUAACUGACGCUGAGGUUCGAAAGCGUGGGUAGCAAACAGG
This 429-nucleotide ribosomal RNA is filed under the name uncultured bacterium. Its description in RNAcentral is "bacterial SSU rRNA". It matches the Rfam family "Bacterial small subunit ribosomal RNA", at positions 355 to 776 of the family's 1533-position model. The record is from RNAcentral.